UCAGUACGGUCGGAAAUCGUACGUAGAGUGUAAAGGCAAAAGAGAGCUUGAUUGCAAGACAUACAGGUCGAGCAAGGAUGAAAAUCGGACUUAGUGAUCCGGUGGUUCUGCGUGGAAGGGCCAUCGCGCAACGGAUAAAAGCUACCCUGGGGAUAACAGGCUUAUCUCCCCCAAGAGUCCACAUCGACGGGGAGGUUUGGCACCUCGAUGUCGGCUCAUCACAUCCUGGGGCUGUAGUAGGUCCCAAGGGUUGGGCUGUUCGCCCAUUAAAGUGGUACGCGAGC
RNAcentral lists this ribosomal RNA (284 nucleotides) under Clostridioides difficile. RNAcentral describes it as "partial 23S ribosomal RNA". It matches the Rfam family "Bacterial large subunit ribosomal RNA", at positions 2322 to 2605 of the family's 2925-position model. Lineage: Bacteria; Bacillati; Bacillota; Clostridia; Peptostreptococcales; Peptostreptococcaceae. The record is from RNAcentral.